AGCAUCCUGUAGCCUUCUUACCUGCUCCAGACCUAGAAGCUGAGAUUUAGUUCCAAGUGUACUAUGUUUUCUAGCCCCUGCUCUAACGUGUCAUGGGAUCUCCAGAUGUUCCACAGCGUCCUGAGGCUUGUGCUGCUCACUGCCAACCUGCUCUAGAGAGCACUGAGUGACAGAUAUUGUAAACAUCCUACACUCUCAGCUGUGAAAAGUAAGAAAGCUGGGAGAAGGCUGUUUACUCUCUCUGCCUUGGAAAUCAGCUAAGAGAAAUGAAUUUUAGAUGGCCUGUAGGUGAUCCUCUAUCACUGAUCUGUUAUGUGGUCAACUCUAAAAGGUAAAAGGGUGAGCUAAUCUGUGCUAAGAAGUGCAAGACACUUUGGAAAAUUGGUUAUUUUUAACUGUUU
Molecule: long non-coding RNA, 401 nt
Filed under: Mus pahari (shrew mouse)
Lineage: Eukaryota; Metazoa; Chordata; Mammalia; Rodentia; Muridae
Description: predicted gene, 27028 (MGP_PahariEiJ_G0005882.1)
Rfam family: mir-30 microRNA precursor family (bases 170-245)
Source: RNAcentral